RNAcentral lists this ribosomal RNA (303 nucleotides) under uncultured bacterium. Its description in RNAcentral is "partial 16S ribosomal RNA". It matches the Rfam family "Bacterial small subunit ribosomal RNA", at positions 507 to 809 of the family's 1533-position model. The record is from RNAcentral.
AGCAGUCGCCGCGGUAAUACGUAGGUGGCAAGCGUCGUCCGGAAUCAUUGGGCGUAAAGCGCGCGCAGGUGGUUUAAUAAGUCUGAUGUGAAAGCCCACGGCUCAACCGUGGAGGGUCAUUGGAAACUGUUAAACUUGAGUGCAGGAGAGAAAAGUGGAAUUCCUAGUGUAGCGGUGAAAUGCGUAGAGAUUAGGAGGAACACCAGUGGCGAAGGCGGCUUUUUGGCCUGUAACUGACACUGAGGCGCGAAAGCGUGGGGAGCAAACAGGAUUAGAUACCCCAGUAGUCCCUGUCUCUUAUAA